GGGAAGUGUGGUUUGUUUUCGUGGACGUGGGAGGUGGAUAUAAAGGGAGCAGAGAGCAGGUCAGAGCACAUCAGCCCUGCACAUUCAAACAGAAGAACAUCUGUCUGUGUCGGGAACCAUGAAGACUCUGCUGGCUCUCACAGUCCUGACGCUCACCUGCUUCCUGAAGCACAGCUCUGCCACGUCACUAUUCUGAAGAAGAAGAAGCUCUGCCUUGAUCCUGAAUGGAAACAUGCACUGAUGCAUCUGGAAGAAUUCAAGAAAAGAUCAGCGCCCACCACUCUGAAACCUGAAACCACUAAAGAAAUGAAGAAAACCUUUUCGUCCACCACUCUGAAGCCCACAACCACCUGAGUCUGCAAUCCCAGAAAUGAUCAAAGCGGUUCUUUUCUACAUUAAUAAUCUGACAAAGUUAUUUGCUGCUCUCGUGUGUUUUAAACUGUUGCAGAACUUUGAUCAUUAAUGAUGAUUACACAGAAAUGUUUCUAGUUUAAAACCUUUAAAGUUUUUUCUCUUCAAUGUUUUUUAUGAGAUAAACCAAGUGCUGUGACUGAACGUUUCAAAUGUCUGUUCAUUAUUGCUCCACCUUUCACAAUAAAAGAUUUAUUUUUGUACUCUUUAAAGCCCACUGAGUCCUUGUUUGAGCUUGUUGGUGUUACCACAACUGCUUUAUUUAAUACAGCUGUGAGUCAUGAAGACAUACACCCAUUUUAUAAAAAUAUUAUGUUAUAAUAAUAAUGACAAACAUCACUUUCAUAAAGACCCAAAGCUGGAAUAAACAGUGUGCUGCAUUCAGUCGC
This is a long non-coding RNA of Oreochromis aureus, 800 nucleotides long. The record is from Ensembl. Lineage: Eukaryota; Metazoa; Chordata; Actinopteri; Cichliformes; Cichlidae.